GGGCCCUUAGCUUAGUCUGGUUAGAGCACCCGGCUCAUACCAAUCACUGACAGCGGUCAGGGAUUGUGGGUAACCGGGCGGUCGGUGGUUCAAAUCCGCCAGGGCCCA
Transfer RNA from Halorientalis sp. IM1011, 108 nucleotides. It matches the Rfam family "tRNA". Rfam says of the family: Transfer RNA (tRNA) molecules are approximately 80 nucleotides in length. The record is from Rfam. Lineage: Archaea; Methanobacteriati; Methanobacteriota; Halobacteria; Halobacteriales; Haloarculaceae.